CUACCAUGCAGUCGAGCGGCUAGCACGGAGAGCUUGCUCUCGGGGGACGAGUGGCGGACGGGUGAGUAAUGUCUGGGAAACUGCCUGAUGGAGGGGGAUAACUACUGGAAACGGAAUGUAAUACCGCAUAACGUCCCAAGACCAAAGAGGGGGACCUUCGGGCCUCUUGCCAUCAGAUGUGCCCUGAUGGGAUUAGCUAGUAGGUGGGGUAACGGCUCACCUAGGCGACGAUCCCUAGCUGGUCUGAGAGGAUGACCAGCCACACUGGAACUGAGACACGGACCAGACUCCUACGGGAGGCAGCAAUGGGGAAUAUUGCACAAUGGGCGCAAGCCUGAUGCAGCCAUGCCGCGUGUAUGAAGAAGGCCUUCGGGUUGUAAAGUACUUUCAGCGGGGAGGAAGGCGAUAAGGUUAAUAACCUUGUCGAUUGACGUUACCCGCAGAAGAACACCGGCUAACUCCGUGCCAGCAGCCGCGGUAAUACGGAGGGUGCAAGCGUUAAUCGGAAUUACUGGACGUAAAGCGCACGCAGGCGGUCUGUCAAGUCGGAUGUGAAAUCCCCGGGCUCAACCUGGGAACUGCAUUCGAAACUGGCAGGCUAGAGUCUUGUAGAGCGGGGGUAGAAUUCCAGGUGUAGCGGUGAAAUGCGUAGAGAUCUGGAGGAAUACCGGUGGCGAAGGCGGCCCCACUAGAGUGUAGUAGAGGAGGGUAGAAUUUCCAGGUGUAGCGGUGAAAUGCGUAGAGAUAUGGAGGAAUACCGGUGGCGAAGGCGGCCUCUCUGGACAAAGACUGACGCUCAGGUGCGAAAGCGUGGGGAGCAAACAGGAUUAGAUACCCUGGUAGUCCACGCCGUAAACGAUGUAGACUUAGAGGUUGUGCCCUAGAGGCGUGGCUUCCGGAGCUUACGCGUUAAGUCGACCGCCUGGGGAGUACGGCCGCAAGGUUAAAACUCAAAUGAAUUGACGGGGGCCCGCACAAGCGGUGGAGCAUGUGGUUUAAUUUGAUACAACGCGAAGAACCUUACCUACUUUUGACAUCCAGAGAACUUAUCAGAGAUAUUUUGGUGCCUUUGGGAACUCUGAGUCCGGUGGUGCAUGGCUGUUGUCAGCUUGUGUUGUGAAAUGUUGGGUUAAGUUCCGCAACGAACGCCACCCUUAUCCUUUGUUGCCAGCCGUUAGGCCGGGCACUCAAAGGAGACUGCCAGUGAUAAACUGGAGGAAGGUGGGGAUGACGUCAAGUCAUCAUGCCCCUUACGAGUAGGGCUACACACGUGCUACAAUGGAGCAUACAAAGAGAAGCGACCUCGCGAGAGCAAGCGGACCUCAUAAAGUGCGUCGUAGUCCGGAUUGGAGUCUGCAACUCGACUCCAGGAAGUCGGAAUCGUUAGUAAUCGUGGAUCACAAUGCCACGGUGAAUACGUUCCCGGCCCUUGUCCACCCCGCCCGUCCCACCAU
Molecule: ribosomal RNA, 1454 nt
Filed under: Enterobacteriaceae bacterium
Lineage: Bacteria; Pseudomonadati; Pseudomonadota; Gammaproteobacteria; Enterobacterales; Enterobacteriaceae
Description: bacterial SSU rRNA
Rfam family: Bacterial small subunit ribosomal RNA
Source: RNAcentral